This is an RNA transcript of Triticum aestivum (bread wheat), 4254 nucleotides long. RefSeq lists it as uncharacterized. The record is from RefSeq and is a predicted model, not a curated record. The transcript has 6 exons. Lineage: Eukaryota; Viridiplantae; Streptophyta; Magnoliopsida; Poales; Poaceae.
CUCAUCCACCUCUCGACCCACACCAAAUAGGGUUUCCGUCCGCCACCGCCGCUCGCAUCGUCGCCUUCUCCUCAGCUCUUGAGCUCCCACCCCUCUCGCUCGCCAGUCGCCUGUGCCCCGAGCCCCCACUAGCCCGACCUUGGAGGAGGCUGCGGUCGCCGGAUCCAGCCAUGGCCGUCACCAACGCCCUCCUCUCCAUCGCCGCAGGCCCAUGUUGGAUUCAGCCGGCGUGCCGGCCGAGCGCGCAACCCUAACCUCAAUUAGGAGCCCGAGGGAGGGGGAGCGGGACUGGAGCUCGAUUCAGCCGCCGUGCCUUGGAUUCAGCCACCGUGCUAUACCCGGGGGAGGGGGGAGCGGGACUGGAGCUUGAUUUGGACAGGGGGCGGUUUGUGGCUCCCGUGCGCGUUGAAGAUCCGGCGGCGGCCGCGUCCUGCAUCAACGGCGCGACGAGGAAUCAUAGGACAGAUGGGAGAGAUGAGGAGAUGGGAGGAGGAAGGAAGGAACGGGGAGGGACUCACCGACGCGGUGGCACUCGCCGGAGGCUGGCUGGCGGCAGGGUCACACGAAAACGGCGGCACGCGUGUGGCACCCUCCCCGGCGGCGCGAGCAGGAAGGAGGAGGUGCACAGGAGGCGUAGGUGCUACGGUGAGAUGGGCUUCAGAUGUGCAGCCGGCCCUAGCGCUGCAACUUCUGCAUCAGAGAAGGUACAUUGGUGAAAUGCAGCAACCAGAUAAAAGAAAUGCAUUACUCCAUCACCACACUGAUGCUCCAUCUCCCUCUGAUGGCAAGUGCGACCCUGAUGAAGCUGCUCCCCUACAUCAAGGACUACCCCAACAGUGCGGCCUUGAUGGCACAACUCCCAUACACCAAGGACUAGCCCCAUGGUGCGGCCACGACAUCACUGCUCCCCUACACCGCCGACUACAACCUGAGAUCUUAGAACAGGUUUGCAGGUUCAUUGGAACAAAUGUUCAAAAGGAAGAUGCACAGUAAGAAUUACAGUAAGAAGUUCAACUACGAGCCCAGACAUGAGGUAUUUUAACCGCCAACAGAGGGUGUGUUGCGCUAAAAAAUAGUAAUCUUCGCUCCAAAUUCUUAGGUCACUGGCCCAGGUUAGUGCCCAUUGUCAUUGUGCAUCUCUGUUAACUAUUUUAGAACUAGCACAAAUCUGAGUAGGGCUGGAACAAAAUGAACACCCAGGGUUCGAGUACCUCUACUAUGAUAUAAUUAUCUUCCAAACAGGUGUCAUUUCCUUAUCAAGAUGGUUCUCGUGAUUUAGGAAAACUAACAACACCUCAAUGGUCUUCGCACUAGAUUAGCUGUAGGAUCCAUUUUCUGGAGCAUUUUGAUUUUGGUGGACUAUUUAGAUACUUCCAUACAUACACUUUACUGAAGGUUAUUUUGACGGAACGUUAGCUUGGAAGCUUUUCCAUACUUUUUGUAACUAUCCUUCAGCAAAACUAGAUGCAGUUUGUGUUGUGAUGAAAUUAAGAUUGCUCACAAUAUUUUGCAGGAUAAAAUUAAUUACAAUGUAAGUUCUUUGGUGUGUGAUCCAUUACAAUACAGGAAGUUUGUGGUUUAUGCCAUAAAAUUUCAGUUAAUAUUUGGUACAUGAAGUGAUCUAAGUCUGCCACACUGUUUGCAUUUGUAGCUUGCUUUGUUUAAUAAAUAGAUUGAUCUUAUUUUCUAUAAACUUUUUUAUUUAACCUACUAACUUCAAAUACAUUAUAUUUGAUCCUUCAAGGGGCAAAAUAGUUCAGCUCUUUGUUUUACAAGUUUCAGGAUUGAAGGGGGAGAUGCUACAGCAGUACAACUACAAGUUCCCUUGCUUCUUUGUAAGGGAACCAAUCAACUAACUUAAUGAGAUUGAUGCACGAGAGCUUCUAGAUGUUCUUCUCGAUCUUGAAUAUUCAUUUUCUCCAACUAUGCAAGAUUUGCUUGUGUAUAAGUUUGAUAAGGCCAGGGGCAAGAACAAAGUGGUUGAUUCAUUGAAUGAAGUAUGCGUUAUGUACAGUCCUCCAGAAUUCAGAAAUUGAUCUAUAAUUCUGUGAAGAGAAGGUUUUCAAACCCAAAGGAGCAUUGGCAACCUUAGGGACUUGGGCGCCAACGUGUAGUCCCAGCAGAAGUUGCUCACCCGGAAGGUGGUCUUCUCCAAGGCCUCCCUAGCCUUUGAACAAGACCGCUCCAUCAAGGGUAAACCAUUGAGUGGCAAUGAUACAUGUGUGUCCAUACGACAUAGUGAUUAGCAGCAUGAGGUGCUGAGCACAUCGCGUGUGUGUCUGUAUGUGUGCGCUGAUAUGUGGUUCAUGAGGAACAAACUGAUUAAGCAUGCUCCAAAGCUACGAGUGACUGAACUAGGUAUCUUUUCUAUUUUCAUGGUGAAGCCUGGUUUUAACUGCUAAAGAAUAGCAGGAGAUGGAAUCAUUGAAAUAUAAUCAAUUCUUAAGUAAAUGAACUGAGACUUGAUGGUUGUGUGUUAUUGGUACAAUAUGUAUUUUGGGCCUGAAUUGUGAAGCAAAUCGAGAAUUCCUGGUUACUUAUUAUUAGUAUAGUAUACCUUUUUUGGGCCUGAAUUCUGAACCUUGCUGAUUUUUUUGGUAGUGUGUUAUCAGUGUAUAUGCAUUUUUGGCCUGAAUCCUUAACCUUAUCUAGGUAUUGAUUUUCUGCAAUCAGUGAAGCACUCAUGGUCAUGCGUAUUUGUUAGUCUACAUUACUUAUAGAUUUAGUUGUUUUGAUAUGUAUCCAUUCGUCGGUUAGUUAACUGAAAUUUGUUGGCAGUGGUUCUUUAUGUUCUUUAACUGUUAUACAGAAGCAGCGGACUGAAACAUUUAAAAACAAUCAGCUCUUUAUGAAUUAACUAAAGACUUGAUGGUUGCGUUAUUAUUAUAGUAUAUACAUUUUUGGGCUUGAAUUACAAAUCUGAUUCAAAUAUCCUUGUUUUGUGUUAUUAUGAUGGUAAUGUUAUCGAGCUUUGUUAAUGUUUUUUUCCUUUCCUUCCUGAACUUCUGAUACUCUCUGCACUGAUGAAAUGUUUUUGCACGUCAGUUAAGUACCAGGGCAACCACAGAUGAUGUUCCUUCCUUUCAUUGAGUUGCCUUACUGUUAUGUCGUCCAACUUUUUGUUAAUAUACACACUCGACAACUUACUGUUAUAACGUCCAACUUUUUGUUAAUAUACACACUUGAUUCUGGAACCCAUGAACUCUUUGUCUCUCCGAGGACAUGUUUCACAUCUACUCCUGUUUGUAAAAAAACAUUAUAGUCUAUUAUGUGUUAUAUAGUCAAAAAAUACAUAAUUGGUUCUCUUCUAUGUGCUUUCCUUAAUGAAUACACUUGGUUCACAAAAGCCUUAGCAUAAUUUGUUGAACAAGUUUUGCCUAAUUUUAUUUCUUGCAUCUCCUGUGGUAAGUUUUAUUUCUUGGUACUUGUAAAAUUGUUCAGAUUACUUAGCUUCGUUCAACUGCUGUGUUGACUAAAUCUACUGUGCCUAUAAACAUACGUGCUUGCCCGUGACCAUGUCGGCUAUGUUGUUAUUCUUUCUUGAAUUGGUAGGUUGAAACCAAGAGGGCAUUGUAAACUUUGAUGACACUUUGUGGGAAACCAAUUACUUCAUGGCCAGAGGUGAUUUUGGAAUGGAGAUUUCAGUUGAGAAGAUAUCCCUUGCACAGAAAAUGAUGAUCUACAAGUGCAACCUUGCUGGUGAGCCUGUUGUCACAGCGAUUGUAGGCAACAUCCAUUCCAAUUGUCCAUUGGUUUAACUGCAGUUUUUUAUGUACAAUUUAUAGGCCGGACUGAUUUUUUUUUACUUGCCCUGAUGAAGCUGUAGACUAUACACAUAAGUUGCUGAUUUUGCAUGCUAUACUUGUGUAAAUGUUGUUCCACCUUCCCACUUUGUAAUUUCAUGGCCAUUUCAGAUGAUCUAGACAUUUAAUGUAUGGAAUUUACAUUGGCACUAAAUAAGGAAUAUUGAAAGAUAGUAUGCCACAAUAUCUGUUAUGAGCUUUUCAGAAAGUUGUAAAGAAUAGUUCUAUUUUUUGUGGGUAGUCAAUCAAAUUAUGGUUCUUGGUUGAAGCCCUCUUGAUGACAUCAUGGAGAGAUUAAGAACAUCAGCAACAUCUUGCGGUGUUCCUCCUCAUCGUUGUUGUCACCACCGAAUAAUGACGACCAGCUCAUUAGACCGCUACUAGAGCAUUGGAGCCUUCUUGAGAAGGCAACACACCUGAGAUCCGGAGAGAGUGCGCGAGAGAGAGGGGG